Molecule: ribosomal RNA, 595 nt
Filed under: uncultured eukaryote
Lineage: Eukaryota
Description: bacterial SSU rRNA
Rfam family: Eukaryotic small subunit ribosomal RNA
Source: RNAcentral
AAAAGCUCGUAGUUGGAGUUCAGAGUGAGCUCAAUCGGUCGGGAUUAUGUCUCAGAACUGGUUGACUCUCUCUUGUUUGUGGAUCCUGUUCGGAGUUAACUCUUCGGAUGUGGAGUCCACAUCGUUUACCUUGAAAAAAUUAGAGUGUUCAAAGCAGGCGUUUGCUUGAAUAUAUUAGCAUGGAAUAAUGGAAUAGGACGCUGGUUCUAUUUUGUUGGUUUUGAGAACCAGAGUAAUGAUUAAUAGGGACAGUUGGGGGCAUUCAUAUUUCAUUGUCAGAGGUGAAAUUCUUGGAUUUAUGAAAGAUGAACUUCUGCGAAAGCAUUUGCCAAGGAUGUUUUCAUUAAUCAAGAACGAAAGUUAGGGGAUCGAAAACAAUCAGAUACCGUCGUAGUCUUAACCAUAAACUAUGCCGACUAGGGAUUGGGCGUGGUUUGUUCAUUGACCCGCUCAGCACCUUACGAGAAAUCAAAGUCUUUGGGUUCCGGGGGGAGUAUGGUCGCAAGGCUGAAACUUAAAGGAAUUGACGGAGGGGCACCACCAGGAGUGGAGCCUGCGGCUUAAUUUGACUCAACACGGGAAAACUUACCAGGUC